Molecule: long non-coding RNA, 589 nt
Filed under: Zostera marina
Lineage: Eukaryota; Viridiplantae; Streptophyta; Magnoliopsida; Alismatales; Zosteraceae
Description: long non-coding RNA (ZMAR_LNC002672)
Source: RNAcentral
GACGACAUUACACAGAGAGAAACAAUAAUUGAUUAAUAAUUAUAAAAAAAAAAGAUGUUAUAGUUGUAUACAUGAAAAGCAAUAAAAUCCAAAAAAAAACCUUUAUCAAUCUACUCCUUUAUUCCUACCCACCGCUGUUCUCCUCAGGCGGUGAUUCCUUGUGUCGUUUUUCUUCUUCUUCUACUACUACUAUCUAGACAGUACAGUAGCAGCACUCUCUGUUUCUGUUUCUGCUUAUUUGAAAUAUAAAUUGAAAUUAAAACAUAAAACUAACCGAAAGAGGAGAUGAGAUGAAAAGAGGUGGCGAAAACGUGUUUUUACCUCGCCGACUCCGUCAUCCGCUAGUUCUACACCUGGCAACUUCCGCCGCGUGAUAACAGAGAGCGGCGACGAAACCGAUGCGGUGAGAAUAGGACAAAACGGAGAAGGAUUUGGGCGGGUCUUAGUAACAAAGUCGUCGCCCUCGCGGUCCCUUUCUCUCUCUCUCUACCUAUUUUCUCAGUUUAAAAAUUUGAAAUCCAUCGUCACUCUCUUAUUCUAUUCGGUAGUGGAAUUGUGAUUUAUUUUUUUAUGUACUUUAGUAUUUUUU